Molecule: long non-coding RNA, 972 nt
Organism: Sycon ciliatum
Lineage: Eukaryota; Metazoa; Porifera; Calcarea; Leucosolenida; Sycettidae
Exons: 2
Source: RefSeq, a predicted model, not a curated record
GAGGAGGAACCAGGACGAGCGAGCAAUGGCAGGACUAGCUGGACCGUAAGUAGUAGCUGAAUUGUGCAUGACAACUUGACAUCCGUGCGGCACUCGCCACUUGCCACUGCAUAUUAUUUUCUUGUCCACUAACAAUGUCUCUCCUCUGCCCCCUGUGUGUCCACGGCCCUGUUGCUGAAUUGGCCCGAUGAAUCGAAUGUCUUCCGCAACUGGAACGGCCCAGUAAACGAUGUCGCGUCGGCGACUGAAUGCGCUGGAGGGAAAAUAUUGCUGCGAAGACGUUUCCUCUAGACCACGGUAUAUCAUCCCGUGACGACCACAUUGAAGUCUGAAUUUGAAGUGUGAAGAUGCUUCAGCAACCACAUCGUACUUUUCCAUUGCUUUCAUUCCUUCUGCUUUCUUUCUUCAUCACUUGUAUCUUGCAGGUAUAUCAUCCCGUGACGACCACAUUGAAGUCUGAAUUUGAAGUGUGAAGAUGCUUCAGCAACCACAUCGUACUUUUCCAUUGCUUUCAUUGUGCUUCUACUGUGCAUGUGUGUAACUUGUGGGGUAAACAUGUGAUGACAUUGUAUGCUGGCGACACGGUCAGAUGUUGUCCAUGCGUCUAACGUACACGUGCAUGUUAUGCAUUGAAAAGGAUUUGCCACUUGCGAUCCUGGGACGAGUAUCAGGUCAGCUUUGUCCUGUCUGGGCUGUAUCAGAUUGCUGUUCACUUCUCUAUCUGUUGGAUGUGUGACUUUCUGCAAGUUUCUGGUGUAUGAUGGCCACUUCCUUUCUUGUCACUUUGUAUGAUAUUACAUUCUGUAUUCGCUGCUUCCAUGGCGUGGUCUGCAAACUGCAAUCCUUGGGCAAAUGUCAUGUUUGCUAUGUUGUGCUUUGGCCGUCAGCUUGUCUACACGCUGUAGUUGAAUUAUUUUUGUUUCACAACUGACUUCCUCAAGUACGGUGGCCACUGCUUUGCAUGGCAUUAUA